RNAcentral lists this microRNA precursor (70 nucleotides) under Pelobates cultripes (western spadefoot toad). The record is from RNAcentral. Lineage: Eukaryota; Metazoa; Chordata; Amphibia; Anura; Pelobatidae.
GUCCGACUGGUUACAGGAAACAGAAACUCCAGUUCCGCGUGGAGUUUCUGUUUCCUGUAACCGGCCGGAC